RNAcentral lists this long non-coding RNA (724 nucleotides) under Cricetulus griseus (Chinese hamster). RNAcentral's name for it is "lncRNA (ENSCGRG00000024215.1)". Lineage: Eukaryota; Metazoa; Chordata; Mammalia; Rodentia; Cricetidae. The record is from RNAcentral.
GAAGGUGUGCAAGUCGGAUAACACCACCAGAAAACAAAAGCCCACACUGCGAUGUUAAAAAGCAGCCAAAUCACCACUAUAAUAGCGGGGUCCAUUAACUUACUCUCACUCUGCAAGUUAAAGCAGAAGCGAGGUUUUUUACUUUCGGUUCGCUUUUGUCGCAAACAGUGCUGCUCCUUUCCGGAGACUUUAUUGCCUCUUUCCCGAGGGCUUUGUUGCUCCUUUACCGGGAGACUUUAUCGCCUCUUUCCUGAGGGCUUUGGUGCUCCUGUACCGGAGACUUUAUCGCCUCUUUCCCGAGGACCUUGGUGCUCCUUUACCGGAGACCUAUCUCCGCAUUCACCGCGGACUUUACAGUUCCACUUACCUUGGGAACUUACCCCAACUGUGAGAAGUUCUGAUUCCCCGUACGUACGGGCCACUACUCGCGGCGGUGGCGGCUUCCCCGUACGGGCCACCACUUGCGGCGUCCACUCUUGACCAGCAAGAAAGACGCCACACCGAGGAAUCUUCUUCAAACACAGUUUAAUCGGGAACCUCUUUGCUUUAUCACCUAACCCUACGUGGCGCGCCAGGAUAGGUUGUCUCCAAGCAGAAUUAAGAGGAUACAUGACCUUUACCAUAUUUGGAGUUGUUUACUACAGAGAGCGCUCGCCGUCGGGCGGAGGGCAGAAACUGGCGCCAUCUUUUGGGUGCGGUUUUCUGCAGCUCCCUACAUUAGAGG